RNAcentral lists this ribosomal RNA (484 nucleotides) under uncultured bacterium. Its description in RNAcentral is "partial 16S ribosomal RNA". It matches the Rfam family "Bacterial small subunit ribosomal RNA", at positions 30 to 507 of the family's 1533-position model. The record is from RNAcentral.
AUUGAACGCUGGCGGAAUGCUUUACACAUGCAAGUCGAACGGCAGCACGGGGGCAGCCCUGGUGGCGAGUGGCGAACGGGUGAGUAAUACAUCGGAACGUGCCCGAUCGUGGGGGAUAACGUAGCGAAAGUUACGCUAAUACCGCAUACGAUCUGAGGAUGAAAGCGGGGGACCUUCGGGCCUCGCGCGAUCGGAGCGGCCGAUGUCAGAUUAGGUAGUUGGUGGGGUAAAGGCCUACCAAGCCGACGAUCUGUAGCUGGUCUGAGAGGACGACCAGCCACACUGGGACUGAGACACGGCCCAGACUCCUACGGGAGGCAGCAGUGGGGAAUUUUGGACAAAGGGCGCAAGCCUGAUCCAGCCAUUCCGCGUGCAGGACGAAGGCCUUCGGGUUGUAAACUGCUUUUGUACGGAACGAAAAGGCUCUGGCUAAUACCUGGGGCUCAUGACGGUACCGUAAGAAUAAGCACCGGCUAACUACGUG